UACAUGGGGUGCAAACGUUGCUCGGAAUUAUUGGGCGUAAAGCGCACGUAGGCGGUCCGGUAAGUCCGCUGUGAAAGUCGGGGGCUCAACCCUCGAAUGCCGGUGGAUACUGUCGGGCUAGAGUGCGGAAGAGGCGAGUGGAAUUCCUGGUGUAGCGGUGAAAUGCGCAGAUAUCAGGAGGAACACCAAUUGCGAAGGCAGCUCGCUGGGACGUAACUGACGCUGAGACGCGAAAGCGUGGGGAGCAAACAGG
RNAcentral lists this ribosomal RNA (253 nucleotides) under uncultured bacterium. RNAcentral describes it as "partial 16S ribosomal RNA". It matches the Rfam family "Bacterial small subunit ribosomal RNA", at positions 524 to 776 of the family's 1533-position model. The record is from RNAcentral.